Molecule: long non-coding RNA, 586 nt
Filed under: Homo sapiens (human)
Lineage: Eukaryota; Metazoa; Chordata; Mammalia; Primates; Hominidae
Description: non-protein coding CBR3-AS1:39
Source: RNAcentral
AGUCGCCUCAGCCGCGGUGUGAGGGAGCGGGAGUCUUCCUUAGCUUCUCCGCCAUGGGUGUCGCUUCGUAGCCGGGCUGCUCCGGGAAAGGCCUCGUACAGCACGCAUUCACCAGAAUCCUGUCAGCUUUCCUCUUCUCAUCCAGACGCCUGGCCAGGAUCCUCGAUAAGACCGUGACCCCCAACUUGGACACCCCAUAAGGUUCCCAGAUGAUGUGACAGCUACUGGUCUCCAGCCACACCUUGAGAACACUUGGCUUUGACUACCACUUCUUAAACUUAAAGGAAAACUAGACAAUCCACCAGCCCAGGAGGGGACAAGCAGGCUUAUUCCUCCUCCUCGUCAUCUCUGGCUCCAGCCCCACCCUGGCCCUUGCUGGCAUUCUUCCUCUUCACGUGGCUGGGGUUGGCCACCCCAAUAGGGAAGCAGAGGGAGAAGUCAAUGUGCUUCUGGGAAUCCAGGCGGACAGUGAAGAACAGGAUAUUUACCACCUGCUCACGGACACGGAUAUGACACUGUUGAAUCAGCACAUGAGCGUGGCGGAUGGACUUAGCCAAGCCAAGCUUGAAGACCUGGGUCUGUAGGA